UCCGGUUUGUCACCGGCAGUCAUCUUAGAGUGCCCAACUGAAUGCUGGCAACUAAGAUCAAGGGUUGCGCUCGUUGCGGGACUUAACCCAACAUCUCACGACACGAGCUGACGACAACCAUGCACCACCUGUCACUCUUGUCCCCCGAAGGGGAAAUUCCUAUCUCUAGGAAAGGCAAAAGGAUGUCAAGACCUGGUAAGGUUCUUCGCGUUGCUUCGAAUUAAACCACAUGCUCCACCGCUUGUGCGGGCCCCCGUCAAUUCCUUUGAGUUUCAGUCUUGCGACCGUACUCCCCAGGCGGAGUGCUUAAUGCGUUAACUUCAGCACUAAAGGGCGGAAACCCUCUAACACUUAGCACUCAUCGUUUACGGCGUGGACUAC
This 381-nucleotide unclassified non-coding RNA is filed under the name Bacillus sp. (in: firmicutes). RNAcentral describes it as "Bacillus sp. (in: Bacteria) contains 16S-23S intergenic spacer region". The record is from RNAcentral. Lineage: Bacteria; Bacillati; Bacillota; Bacilli; Caryophanales; Bacillaceae.